Molecule: long non-coding RNA, 1594 nt
Organism: Cyprinodon tularosa
Lineage: Eukaryota; Metazoa; Chordata; Actinopteri; Cyprinodontiformes; Cyprinodontidae
Exons: 3
Source: RefSeq, a predicted model, not a curated record
GUAAGCCCCUCUGCAGCGUGCCGUGAUUUAGCCUGUAAUAGUUUUCUGUAAUCUCUUUCUAUUGAUUAAACCUCACAUCAAAGAGGAGUCUUGCUAGAGAACCUCUCUUUUCCUGCUCAGAAAUACCAUAUGGAGACAGGUAUGUGUCAGAGAGAAGCCCAGCAAGCAGUGCUAUGAAAGGAGGAUACACGUUGGAGGAGCGGACCGGUCAACAAGGCCAGCAGACCAGCUGAGCUCUGUCAUAGAGAGCGGAGAGGCAGAGACUGGGACUCCAGAGCACAGCCACAGAGCCUUGACUAGACCGAGGACCCUGAGUCUGUCCCUGUGGACGCCACCUGUGUUGAGGAAGUUCAUAAAGUUUUAUGAUCUCCUAAAAGCUAAUUUCCUCAUAAAGCGCACAAAGGUCACAAAUCUAUCAACGAGGUUUCCUCAUUAGUUUUUUUUUUCCUAAUUAUUCAAACCCUUAAAAAAAUACUAUACAAGCCCCUGCAGAUUUUACAGGAAUUUUAUUUUUUAACCUAAAGAAUUAAACAUGUAAAGAAAAGCUUUUUCACCAUGAUUAAUGGAAGAAACAAAACGUAUUCAGUAGAAUAUCAAGAAACAAAGUUCAUAUAAUUUCUUUAAUCUAUUAAUAUUAAACAUUAUAGAAGGUCUUUAUAGACUAAUUUUAUAAAAGGCAUUAUGAAAAGUUUUAAUUUUCUAAAAGUUUCUAAAAUUGAGCUAUCGUUUCACUUGUGUGUAUCUCCUUUUAAAGAAUGUAUUUUUCUAUUUCUUCUUUGCUGUUCGAAUAUUACCAGACUUAACAUAUUUUAUUAUAUAUUUUAUUUCUUUUUUUUCUGCAAAUUGAUUUCAAAAUAUCUGCUGUCUAUUUUGUUUUUCUACAAAUCAAGGAGGCUUUAAGCGCUAUAAUUACAGACAGACUGUAGCCCGCUUGAAAGCGUGGGAUUGUUUUCAUGUUAUAAAACAUGAAUUUCUCUGUGAUCUUAGCUGUGUAGAGCAUAUGCUGCGGGAUUUCCCCGUCCUGUUCUGUGCCAGGAUAGGGAAACACGCUUUCUGCUCAAAAGAUAAGACAUUCCUACAGGAACUAAAGCAUCUCCAGUGGAAAGUGACAACAAUUGUUGUUUCCACUUGACACUUAGUGACAAACUUAAAAAGGUGAUUGAUUAAUUUGUGCAGACCUCCCCUCACCUCUCACCUAUCCAUGCAAUCUAAACCCGCACAGUGCUUUUAAAAUGACUGGUUGCAUUUUUUUCUCUUCAUUCAAUAUAUAUGUAUAUAUAUUUUUUUUACACAUGGACAUUUGUUUACUUGAGCAUGAAAAUCUUACCUGUCUUUUCUUUGAUUUCACACAGAACGCUGAAGAGUGCUGGUUUCAUUCUGUGACAGUUCAGUCCAUGUUUCCUGUUUCAGUAUAAGAAAAAAUAAAACACUCAAAUAAGGUCACUAAUAAAAACAUGAUAAAUAUGAACAGGUAACAGCCUCCAAACACUUCUCAUCUCACACUGCAAAAACCAUCUAAAAAUAAGAAAGAAUUUCCUAAAUUAAGUGUAUUUACCAUUAAUUAGAGCAGGUAAACAAGAUAAUUUGCCAAUUG